CAGACCUGUCAGCGCAUUUAUUUCUUCAUUUUCCUACUUUUUCCCGACCUCCUUUCCCCUCGGUCGGGGAUCUCGAGUACUUCUUCUUAGUCGAGUCCUCGCGACAUCGUGGUUUUUCCCUCCUUUUGGGCUUUCUAUUCUUCCUUGGCCGGGUUGGGCUUUCCCUGGGCUGCUUCGGUGGGCUGCUGUAUUUGGGCCUUGUAGCUCCGGUCUUGGUCCGGAUCAGUAGUUAUGGAAAUGGUAGACAAAAUCGAUGUAAUAUGACAAAUCAUAUUAAAUUUUAUUUUUUUCAAUAUUUUUUUAACAUUCCAAAAUCGGUGCAUUAAUUGUUAGAUAUGCUUUCAUGAUUAUUUUUAUUGUGUUUGAC
RNAcentral lists this long non-coding RNA (367 nucleotides) under Erythranthe guttata (spotted monkey flower). Its description in RNAcentral is "long non-coding RNA (EGUT_LNC000601)". Lineage: Eukaryota; Viridiplantae; Streptophyta; Magnoliopsida; Lamiales; Phrymaceae. The record is from RNAcentral.